Thamnophis sirtalis is the source of this 233-nucleotide non-coding RNA. The record is from RefSeq and is a predicted model, not a curated record. Lineage: Eukaryota; Metazoa; Chordata; Lepidosauria; Squamata; Natricidae.
CGCAGGGAGAAGCAAACACAACUCGCCAGGGAUCUGCAGGCGGCCACCACGUCCCUACUCAGUGUAAAGAUAGACUCGGAAAAAAUGAAAACGGGAGAGAAGAAAUCGGCUGGCGGACAGGAGUCCGAAGAGAAGAAAGGAGGUGAAAAAUUGUGGAAAAGACCCUUCAGGUCAGCAUCUGCCACUGCGCUCAGCACCGCCAGGUACAAGGAGGUGGUGAAAGGCUGGUUUGA